This 235-nucleotide ribosomal RNA is filed under the name uncultured bacterium. RNAcentral's name for it is "partial 16S ribosomal RNA". It matches the Rfam family "Bacterial small subunit ribosomal RNA", at positions 99 to 334 of the family's 1533-position model. The record is from RNAcentral.
CGGACGGGUGAGUAACGCGUGGGUAACCUUCCUUGUACUGGGGGACAACAGUUAGAAAUGACUGCUAAUAUCGCAUAAGCGCACAGUAUCGCAUGAUACAGUGUGAAAAACUCCGGUGGUACAAGAUGGACCCGCGUCUGAUUAGCUAGUUGGUAAGGUAACGGCUUACCAAGGCGACGAUCAGUAGCCGACCUGAGAGGGUGACCGGCCACAUUGGGACUGAGACACGGCCCAA